GGGGAUUUAGCUCAGCGGCAGAGCGCCUGCUUUGUAAGCAGGCAGUUGUGAGUUCGAUCCCUG
RNAcentral lists this transfer RNA (63 nucleotides) under Cavia porcellus (domestic guinea pig). It matches the Rfam family "tRNA", at positions 1 to 62 of the family's 71-position model. Rfam says of the family: Transfer RNA (tRNA) molecules are approximately 80 nucleotides in length. Their secondary structure includes four short double-helical elements and three loops (D, anti-codon, and T loops). Lineage: Eukaryota; Metazoa; Chordata; Mammalia; Rodentia; Caviidae. The record is from Rfam by way of RNAcentral.